Molecule: ribosomal RNA, 164 nt
Filed under: uncultured bacterium
Lineage: Bacteria
Description: partial 16S rRNA
Rfam family: Bacterial small subunit ribosomal RNA
Source: RNAcentral
UAGGGGAUCUUCCACAAUGGACGAAAGUCUGAUGGAGCAACGCCGCGUGAGUGAAGAAGGGUUUCGGCUCGUAAAACUCUGUUGUUAAAGAAGAACAUAUCUGAGAGUAACUGUUCAGGUAUUGACGGUAUUUAACCAGAAAGCCACGGCUAACUACGUGCCAC